AAUGCUAAAGGUAAUACGGCUGAACCGCAGAAAGAAUCACCUUCUCCAGCAUCAGCGGCCAGUGCCAUGGGACGUAUUUCUGCCAUGAUUCCUCCUCCACCCAAACCUGUUUCAGAUGGUGCUGAAGAUGAAGAUGACUGGGAGUAAGAGUGUGAGCAUGCUUCAGACCUCAAUGAAGGAUAUGAAAUAAGCAGAAUAUUAAAAGUUUGUCUCAGCUGUACUUGAUACUACAGUGGACCUGAAAAUCUUGAUUUUUUAUUAGGGUGAACAACUUAUCAAAAGUAUUAAUUGUACGUCAGAUGUACUUGGCUGCUACAGUGGACCUGAACAUCUUGAUUUUUUAUUAGGGUGAACAACUUAUUAAAUGUAUUAAUUGUACAUCGGAUGUACUUGGCUGCUACAGUGGAACUGAACAUCUUGAUGUUCUGUUGAGAAUUGUAUUGUAUAUUUAUUCUUCUAACUCUCAAAUUAGCAAUUUGAAUUAAAUGUACUGUUGGCCUCUCUGAAAAUUUGUUAGUGUUUUCAGCACGUCAUACAAAGUGUUGGUCUGUUAUGCCUGGCUACUUUUGUACAAAGUACCUUACAGUAAUUGUUGUUAUUGUUAAGUAUAUAACUGUAUAAAAUAGCCCAGAUAUGUUGCAUGAUCUACCUUAAAGCAAGAGAUACAGUACCAGUGUUGUAUUUUACAAGAAGACCUGGAUAAUAAUAUAUUUAACGAAUUCUUGCUGCUCAAUAGAAGAACAUUUCUAAUGAAUAAAGUGAUAAAUGUUGCUUGUUAAA
RNAcentral lists this long non-coding RNA (780 nucleotides) under Limulus polyphemus (Atlantic horseshoe crab). RNAcentral's name for it is "uncharacterized LOC111084064, transcript variant X1". The record is from RNAcentral. Lineage: Eukaryota; Metazoa; Arthropoda; Merostomata; Xiphosura; Limulidae.